UAGUCCACGCCGUAAACGAUGGACACUAGUUGUUGGGAAUUAUUUUCAGUGACUAGGCGAAAGUGAUAAGUGUCCCACCUGGGGAGUACGAUCGCAAGAUUGAAACUCAAAGGAAUUGACGGGGGCCCGCACAAGCGGUGGAGCAUGUGGUUUAAUUCGAUGAUACGCGAGGAACCUUACCAGAACUUAAAUGCCAUACGACAAUUUAGGAGACUAAAUUUUCUUCGGACGUUUAGCAAGGUGCUGCAUGGUUGUCGUCAGCUCGUGCCGUGAGGUGUCAGGUUAAGUCCUAUAACGAGCGCAACCCCUAUCUUCAGUUGCCAGCAAGUAAUGUUGGGGACUCUGGAGAGACUGCCGGCGUAAGCCGUGAGGAAGGUGGGGAUGACGUCAAAUCAUCAUGGCCUUUAUGCCCAGGGCUACACACGUGCUACAAUGGCGCAUACAGAGGGCAGCGAAACCGCGAGGUGGAGCAAAUCCCAGAAAGUACGUCCCAGUUCGGA
Molecule: ribosomal RNA, 500 nt
Filed under: uncultured bacterium
Lineage: Bacteria
Description: bacterial SSU rRNA
Rfam family: Bacterial small subunit ribosomal RNA
Source: RNAcentral